RNAcentral lists this ribosomal RNA (419 nucleotides) under uncultured bacterium. Its description in RNAcentral is "bacterial SSU rRNA". It matches the Rfam family "Bacterial small subunit ribosomal RNA", at positions 356 to 774 of the family's 1533-position model. The record is from RNAcentral.
AAGGAAUAUUGCUCAAUGGGAGAAAUCCUGAAGCAGCAACGCCGCGUGGAGGAUGAAGGGUCUAUGACUUGUAAACUCCUGUAAAGAAGGAAAAAAUUCCCAUUUGAUGGGAGAUGAUGGUACUUCUGGAGUAAGCCCCGGCUAACUACGUGCCAGCAGCCGCGGUAAUACGUAGGGGGCAAGCGUUGUCCGGAUUUACUGGGUGUAAAGGGUGCUCAGGCGGAUUUGUAAGUCAGAGGUGAAAUCUUACAGCUUAACUGUGAAACUGCCUGUGAUACUGCAAGCCUAGAGUAUGGAAGAGAGUGAUAGAAUAUCUGGUGUAGCAGUGAAAUGCGUAGAUAUCAGAUAGAACACCAAUGGCGAAGGCAGUCACUUGGUCCAUUACUGACGCUAAAGCACGAAAGCGUGGGUAGCAAACA